This is a long non-coding RNA of Carya illinoinensis, 2783 nucleotides long. RefSeq lists it as uncharacterized. Lineage: Eukaryota; Viridiplantae; Streptophyta; Magnoliopsida; Fagales; Juglandaceae. The record is from RefSeq and is a predicted model, not a curated record. The transcript has 3 exons.
AUUCUAAUUAGUUAAACCGUCUUGCUAAAAUUUUCUCUUUAAUUGAAUCAAAUAGCCAAUUUCUUUAUUUUUUUUAUACUCCAUUAUUCUAUUUAAUUAUAAUUUUUUUUGGUAUGAUAAAUUGCCAUUAAUUAGUUGCUUAGCUGUUACCAAUGUUUUUAAUAUUGUUUUUUCGUAUCGAAAUAGUAGUCCUAUGUUUUGUUCUGGCUUCAGUUUUUGACGAGUUUGAUUUGUUUCUGUUACUCCCGACAUGCUCUAGGUGAUUCUUUAUUGCAUAACGUCUCAUGCAUGAACUUAAAUCACUGUCUUGCACUAACUGAAGACUAGGAUUGAUGUUAUUAGGACCUAGUUCUGUUUGAAUAAAUCAUUAGGCUUGAUUAUUUUCAUUGAGAUAAGUAUAGAAUAUUAAAGUUUCGGUUGGGAGUAGUGCUGGGGUUUUAAUCGUGAGGCUUAAAAUUUAUGAGGAAGGGAAUUUGUUAAACACCCUGCUCUUUACUUGCUAAUUUCUCUUAUAUGUUGCUGGAAUGGUGACUAAUCUAUUGAUGAUAACUGUAACAGAUUGGCGAUGGUAGGAACAAGACGUAGCUGUUGAAAUGUAACGAACAAAAUGCGCACAAGGUGUUCGCUGAAAUGGCUCAAAGGCCUGAUUGACAUCUACUCAUCAGGGUUCUUCGAGGGAAUACCCUUAACCUCCAGAGAAAACAACUACAAUAUUCUGAUUCUUCUUGAUGAUAUAGAGAGCUUCUACCUUCUUCUUUUUAUUCUCCUCUGAUAACUGACUAGGUUGGAUGCUGAUGAUAUAACUAGCCGACACUUAACGGAAAUAACAGACCAAAUAGCGACUAGAAAGUAAGGGAAAAAAAUGCACCGUUUGCCUUUAAGAUCCAAACGCUGCGUCUUACACCCAAUUAACUAAUUUAAACAUUGCAUUUUAAUUCCCCAUAAAAGUUUUGCUAAAACGCAUCGCAUGACACUUCCAUAAAGCCUUCAGCGACGUCAUUCAUCUCCAGCAUUUGACUCAUGCACCAACAACUCAACACGACACCAUCUCCACUUAGGCACUUAAGUCACUUCCACACACUUCGGUUCCUUCACAGUUCACAGAACCCUCUUAACGCGGCUUGUCCCCCUCUGUUAGGGCUUCUCGCCAUCGGCAUCAUGACAAGGCUUCCCCCAUCAAAGCACCUUGCCCAUAAGAUGUAGGUGAAGGUGCUUCAAAUGCCAUAGAAGUUCCCAGAUGCUGUCUUCCUUGGGCAAUCUGACCCAUUUCACAAGCACUUCGUGAAGGAAAGACUUGUACGUGUGAGCCGAUUUUGCUUUUCAAGCAAGAAGCAUGAAAAGUUGGAUGGAUCUUAGAAGACUUUGGAAGCUUCUAUUGCUCAAAUAAAAUUUACAUGAAGGAAGCAGUGUAUUUCAGCAGCUAAAAAGAAAAGAUGAAGAUUUUUUAUGGUGACUUUCUUAUUUGGUUGUUCAUAGAUGCAUGCGGUGAAGAAAAUGAUUUACGGUGGACAAACACAUGCAACGUCAAAGUCUAAAAAGGAGGCUAAAACCAAAUGAAGAUCCCAUGAAGCAGCUUUCUAUUUUAUUUUUGCUUGCUCUUGGACGUGAGAGUGUGAAUGUAAGAGGCGGCAGCUUGUUGAUAGCUUCAGUUGGUGCAACUAAAGUGGACUAGAAGUGUUUAAUCUUCCUAUGCUGAAAAUGUGGUAGUUGAUAUUCAAGCAGAACCAAAUAAAGUUAAUGGCUUCGAUUGGUGCAUGAGUUGAUUUUAUUAAUCGGCUGGUAUGAAAAGAAAGAAAAUGGAAAGGAGAGGAAAAUAAGCUAAAGGGGAUUGAUUUGUAGGAGAGGUGCCGUGAUUGAAGGGGAUUAAAGAGAAUUUUCGGUGGGAAUUCAUUGAGGAGAGGUGCCUUGCUUGACUUGGAUUGGAUCUAUAGUGAAGAGUGCCGUGCUUGACAAGUGGAGAGGGACACAGUUGGUGGUGAUUGUUUAUAAGAAGUCGGCUGGAAUAAAUUUGGAUUGGAGGAAGGAGUUUGGCACCGACUUGAGACAGCUAUAUAUAUAUAUUGCUGGACGGAAGAGAUAACAGGAGGGGGUGAGAAGAGAGGUAGACGUGUAGGGAUUGAGAGGUGUUGUGCUGGAGUUUUAUUGUGCUGAGAAAGUAUUAACGUGAGAGCGGAGAUCAUAAUUGGCUGCUUUUGAAGGGGGAAGGUCAGUUGGUCAGUAGGUGGGGACGUGUGAGUGAAAGAAUGUUGUGCUGGAAUUGAAGAAGGAGUUGUGUCGGUGCAGGAUUUUUUUCUGGGGUUGAAAGGAAUUGGCUGGAGUAAUUUAAUUGGCUGAGGUUAAGUACGCUUUGAGAGAAAGUAAGGUGUUGAAAUGAACUUUUAUUGUUGCUAGAGUAUUGACGAGGGAAAGGGAGAGUGAACGUGGGGUCUGGAAAGGGAGUGUCGGUGGAAUAAAUUUAGAGCCGAGUAGAGAGACGUCCGGGUUCUUCUUUGUCCAGAUUUUUGGACGGGUGCUGUUGUUUUUUUUAGAGCUGGGUAGAGAGAGAAACUAGGAGACGUUGGAGAUAUUUUUUGGGCAGAGUAUUAUUUUUUUUUUUUUUGGGUUUUGGAUAGAGACGGAAGGGGGAAACAGAGGGUUGGAUUUUAUGGAUAGGGGAGUGUUUAUUUUUCUGGUGCUGGGUCUAGGAUGUAACUCGCAAUGCUGGGAUUUACGGACGGGUGUUUCCUUACUUUUCGAGAGGAUGGUUUCAAUUUGAGGGAGUUUUUAGCUCUAUUUUCUCUGUA